This 445-nucleotide ribosomal RNA is filed under the name uncultured bacterium. Its description in RNAcentral is "bacterial SSU rRNA". It matches the Rfam family "Bacterial small subunit ribosomal RNA", at positions 330 to 792 of the family's 1533-position model. The record is from RNAcentral.
UCCAGACUCCUACGGGAGGCAGCAGUCGGGAAUAUUGCGCAAUGGAGGAAACUCUGACGCAGUGAUGCCGCGUAUAGGACGAAGGUCUUCGGAUUGUAAACUAUUGUCGUUAGGGAAGAGAAAGGACAGUACCUAAGGAGGAAGCUCCGGCUAACUACGUGCCAGCAGCCGCGGUAAUACGGAGGAUGCGAGCGUUAUCCGGAUUUAUUGGGUUUAAAGGGUGCGCAGGCGGAAGAUCAAGUCAGCGGUAAAAUUGAGGGGCUCAACCUCUGCGAGCCGUUGAAACUGGUUUUCUUGAGUGAGUGAGAAGUAUGCGGAAUGCGUGGUGUAGCGGUGAAAUGCAUAGAUAUCACGCAGAACUCCGAUUGCGAAGGCAGCAUACCGGCGCUCAACUGACGCUCAUGCACGAAAGUGUGGGUAUCGAACAGGAUUAGAUACCCGAGUA